RNAcentral lists this ribosomal RNA (497 nucleotides) under uncultured bacterium. RNAcentral describes it as "partial 16S ribosomal RNA". It matches the Rfam family "Bacterial small subunit ribosomal RNA", at positions 28 to 507 of the family's 1533-position model. The record is from RNAcentral.
GAUGAACGCUGGCGGCGUGCCUAAUACAUGCCAGUCGAGCGGACGGACGAGAAGCUUGCUUCUCUGAUGUUAGCGGCGGACGGGUGAGUAACACGUGGAUGACCUACCUAUAAGACUGGGAUAACUUCGGGAAACCGGAGCUAAUACCGGAUAAUAUUUUGAACCGCAUGGUUCAAAAGUGAAAGACGGUCUUGCUGUCACUUAUAGAUGGAUCCGCGCUGCAUUAGCUAGUUGGUAAGGUAACGGCUUACCAAGGCAACGAUGCAUAGCCGACCUGAGAGGGUGAUCGGCCACACUGGAACUGAGACACGGUCCAGACUCCUACGGGAGGCAGCAAUAGGGAAUCUUCCGCAAUGGGCGAAAGCCUGACGGAGCAACGCCGCGUGAGUGAUGAAGGUCUUCGGAUCGUAAAACUCUGUUAUUAGGGAAGAACAUAUGUGUAAGUAACUGUGCACAUCUUGACGGUACCUAAUCAGAAAGCCACGGCUAACUACGUG